Molecule: ribosomal RNA, 375 nt
Filed under: uncultured organism
Description: bacterial SSU rRNA
Rfam family: Bacterial small subunit ribosomal RNA
Source: RNAcentral
CGAAGGGUGCAAGCGUUACUCGGAAUUACUGGGCGUAAAGCGUGCGUAGGUGGUGAGUUAAGUCUUGUCGUGAAAGCCCCGGGCUCAACCUGGGAAUGGCGAUGGAUACUGGCUCGCUAGAGUGCGGUAGAGGAGAGUGGAAUUCCCGGGUGUAGCAGUGAAAUGCGUAGAGAUCGGGAGGAACAUCAGUUGCGAAGGCGGCUCUCUGGACCCAGCACUGACACUGAGGCACGAAAGCGUGGGGAGCAAACAGGAUUAGAUACCCUGGUAGUCCACGCCCUAAACGAUGCGAACUGGACGUUGGGAGCAAUUAGGCUCUCAGUGUCGAAGCUAACGCGUUAAGUUCGCCGCCUGGGGAGUACGGUCGCAAGACUG